GGCGAACGGGUGAGUAACACGUGGGCAACCUGCCCCUCACUCUGGGAUAACUUCGGGAAACCGAAGCUAAUACCGGAUAUCCGCUUUUGCAGGCAUCUGCGAAAGUGGAAAGUUUUUCGGUGAGGGAUGGGCCCGCGGCCUAUCAGCUAGUUGGUGAGGUACCGGCUUACCAAGGCGACGACGGGUAGCCGGCCUGAGAGGGCGACCGGCCACACUGGACUGAGACACGGCCCAGACUCCUACGGGAGGCAGCAGUGGGGAAUAUUGCGCAAUGGGCGAAAGCCUGACGCAGCAACGCCGCGUGCGGGAUGACGGCCUUCGGGUUGUAAACCGCUUUCAGCAGGGAAGAAGCCGCAAGGUGACGGUACCUGCAGAAGAAGCACCGGCUAACUACGUGCCAGCAGCCGCGGUAAUACGUAGGGUGCAAGCGUUGUCCGGAUUUAUUGGGCGUAAAGAGCUC
This 460-nucleotide ribosomal RNA is filed under the name uncultured Kineosporiaceae bacterium. RNAcentral describes it as "bacterial SSU rRNA". It matches the Rfam family "Bacterial small subunit ribosomal RNA", at positions 97 to 570 of the family's 1533-position model. Lineage: Bacteria; Bacillati; Actinomycetota; Actinomycetes; Kineosporiales; Kineosporiaceae. The record is from RNAcentral.